This 374-nucleotide unclassified non-coding RNA is filed under the name uncultured Gammaproteobacteria bacterium. Its description in RNAcentral is "contains 16S-23S intergenic spacer region". Lineage: Bacteria; Pseudomonadati; Pseudomonadota; Gammaproteobacteria. The record is from RNAcentral.
UCCGGUUUGUCACCGGCAGUCUCCCUAGAGUGCCCUUGCGUAGCAACUAGGGACAAGGGUUGCGCUCGUUGCGGGACUUAACCCAACAUCUCACGACACGAGCUGACGACAGCCAUGCAGCACCUGUGUUCCGGUUCCCUUUCAGGCACAGCCACGUUUCCGGGGCCUCCAGGACAUGUCAAGGGUAGGUAAGGUUUUUCGCGUUGCAUCGAAUUAAUCCACAUAAUCCACCGCUUGUGCGGGUCCCCGUCAAUUCCUUUGAGUUUUAACCUUGCGGCCGUACUCCCCAGGCGGUCGACUUCACGCGUUAGCUUCGUUGCCGCAGGGGUCAAUACCCGCGACGACUAGCAUCCAUCGUUUACGGCGUGGACUAC